RNAcentral lists this ribosomal RNA (404 nucleotides) under uncultured bacterium. RNAcentral describes it as "partial 16S ribosomal RNA". It matches the Rfam family "Bacterial small subunit ribosomal RNA", at positions 30 to 526 of the family's 1533-position model. The record is from RNAcentral.
AUUGAACGCUGGCGGCAGGCCUAACACAUGCAAGUCGAGCGAGCGGCGGGCGGGUGAGGAAUGCCUGCGAGUUGCACAGUGGAGAUAGAUAACAGAUGAAACCGACUACUAAGAGCUCAUACGGUUGUAUUUCCCAGGUGGGAUUAGCUCGUGGGUGAGUUAAUGGCUUACCAAGGCGACGAUCCCUAGCUGGUCUGAGAGGAUGAUCAGCCACACUGGAGCUGAGACACGGUCCAGACUCCUACGGGAGGCAGCAGUGGGGAAUAUUGCACAAUGGGGGAAACCCUGAUGCAGCCAUGCCGCGUGUGUGAAGAAGGCCUUCGGGUUGUAAAGCACUUUAAGCGAGGAGGCGUUACCCGCAGAAGAAGCACCGGCUAACACCGUGCCAGCAGCCGCGGUAAUUC